UCAAGGAAUAGUUUAAAUGAGAAUCCUAGCUUUGGGAGUUAGGGGUGGGAGUUAAAAUCUUCUUUCUUUGAGC
RNAcentral lists this transfer RNA (73 nucleotides) under Sinobdella sinensis. Its description in RNAcentral is "tRNA-Pro". It matches the Rfam family "tRNA". From Rfam's summary of the family: Transfer RNA (tRNA) molecules are approximately 80 nucleotides in length. Their secondary structure includes four short double-helical elements and three loops (D, anti-codon, and T loops). Further hydrogen bonds mediate the characteristic L-shaped molecular structure. tRNAs have two regions of fundamental functional importance: the anti-codon, which is responsible for specific mRNA codon recognition, and the 3' end, to which the tRNAs corresponding amino acid is attached (by aminoacyl-tRNA synthetases). tRNAs cope with the degeneracy of the genetic code in two manners: having more than one tRNA (with a specific anti-codon) for a particular amino acid; and 'wobble' base-pairing, i.e. permitting non-standard base-pairing at the 3rd anti-codon position. Lineage: Eukaryota; Metazoa; Chordata; Actinopteri; Synbranchiformes; Mastacembelidae. The record is from RNAcentral.